Long non-coding RNA from Myotis myotis, 1187 nucleotides. RefSeq lists it as uncharacterized. NCBI's taxonomy places the organism in Eukaryota, Metazoa, Chordata, Mammalia, Chiroptera, Vespertilionidae. The transcript has 2 exons. The record is from RefSeq and is a predicted model, not a curated record.
CCGGAGGCGCUCUCGGAGAGGCUGGGGGCCUGCGGCAGACGCCCCCUUCCCUCUCCGCCGGCCCCGGGCGCUUUAACCCUGAGGCUGCCGGCGGGCAGGGCGCGGGAAGGUCUGCGGCCCUGACAGGAUGGCCCCUGGCCCCCUGGCCCCUGGCGGGUGACCUGCCCCGAUGGCCCCGGUGGCUGUUCUGAUCAGUCUCAGCGAGGUCCCUGGGGAGAGAAGCGCCGCGCACCCACGUGCAGGCUGUGAAGUGCUCUGUCUCAUCAGGUCUUGCUGGACAAGUGGCUGCGGGAAAGCAUCAGGCAAGAGGAUCGCUGCAGCCUCCUGGGGACCCUGUCAGUGAGGACGUGUCUCCCCCUUUUCCAGAGGACAGCGGGGCUAGAGGGUCCGCAGGCACCCCGCCUGGGUGCACUCAUGCACACGAUCAGCUGGCACCCGGUGGAGCAGUCCCCUUCUGAACACUCACCUGAGGGACCCUCUUGCAGGCUCCACCCCUUGUGGCCUUCAGCCCCCGAGCUGGGGUCAGAUCCCAGCAUGCCCCAGGGCUGAAGAGCAAGGUUGACCUUGGAGGAAAUAGCUUCCACUCCAAAAGGAAGUCAAAUGUUGCCGAUUUCCAUCGGUGGGAAACCAGGUGGAUGACGCCACCGCCUUGGGCCGGAUUUACAGGUAUGAGCGGCACCCAGAGGCAGCCGGGCACGGGCAUGGCCUCCGGCAGAUGGCUUGGCCGGUAGAAGCUCCAACCCCUCGGUGGCCUACAUUCAGUGAGGCGGGCGUGCCGCACGUCCCGGGGAGGACCGGGAGGAAGAAUCCACAGGGAGUGACUUGUCAGGGGUGACCUGCUCGCCUUUGAGAAAUCUAGGGGUGAGGCGAGCCAUCAUCCCUGGACUCUGUGUGGUAUCCUCCCGGCUGGCGAGAGGGGAGAUGGUUCCUGAUCCCAGAGGGCGGAUGGCACCGCAAGCGGCACAGGCUGAGUGGCAAUCUUAAGCAGAGAUGGAGCUGUUCCCAGAAAGUUCUACUUGUAGGGAUCUUUGAUGGAGGGUAAGUGAUCGUGGUGUCCUUAGGAAUGAAGUCGGCGGGCCAUGCACAGAAGCAUCACUCGAACUAGGUGACAGGAAAACCCGAAGUCUGGGGACAGGACAGUGAGCUUCUAGGUUUACAACCCUAAUAAAUUAUAGUUUCCUUUAUCA